UGGGGAAUUUUGGACAAUGGGCGAAAGCCUGAUCCAGCAAUGCCGCGUGUGUGAAGAAGGCCUUCGGGUUGUAAAGCACUUUUGUCCGGAAAGAAAUCCUUGGCUCUAAUACAGUCGGGGGAUGACGGUACCGGAAGAAUAAGCACCGGCUAACUACGUGCCAGCAGCCGCGGUAAUACGUAGGGUGCAAGCGUUAAUCGGAAUUACUGGGCGUAAAGCGUGCGCAGGCGGUUUGCUAAGACCGAUGUGAAAUCCCCGGGCUCAACCUGGGAACUGCAUUGGUGACUGGCAGGCUAGAGUAUGGCAGAGGGGGGUAGAAUUCCACGUGUAGCAGUGAAAUGCGUAGAGAUGUGGAGGAAUACCGAUGGCGAAGGCAGCCCCCUGGGGCCAAAUACUGACGCUCAUGCACGAAAGCGUGGGGAGCAAACAGGAUUAGAUACCCUGGUAGUCCACGCCCUAAACGAUGUCAACUAGUUGUUGGGGGACUUCAUUUCCUUAGUAACGUAGCUAACGCGUGAAGUUGACCGCCUGGGGAGUACGGUCGCAAGAUUAAAACUCAAAGGAAUUG
This 568-nucleotide ribosomal RNA is filed under the name uncultured bacterium. RNAcentral's name for it is "partial 16S ribosomal RNA". It matches the Rfam family "Bacterial small subunit ribosomal RNA", at positions 355 to 912 of the family's 1533-position model. The record is from RNAcentral.